This 459-nucleotide ribosomal RNA is filed under the name uncultured Thiobacillus sp. RNAcentral describes it as "bacterial SSU rRNA". It matches the Rfam family "Bacterial small subunit ribosomal RNA", at positions 923 to 1382 of the family's 1533-position model. The record is from RNAcentral. Lineage: Bacteria; Pseudomonadati; Pseudomonadota; Betaproteobacteria; Nitrosomonadales; Thiobacillaceae.
GCACAAGCGGUGGAUUAUGUGGAUUAAUUCGAUGCAACGCGAAAACCUUACCUACCCUUGACAUGCUAGGAACUUGCCAGAGAUGGCUUGGUGCCCGAAAGGGAACCUAGACACAGGUGCUGCAUGGCUGUCGUCAGCUCGUGUCGUGAGAUGUUGGGUUAAGUCCCGCAACGAGCGCAACCCUUGUCAUUAAUUGCCAUCAUUCAGUUGGGCACUUUAAUGAGACUGCCGGUGACAAACCGGAGGAAGGUGGGGAUGACGUCAAGUCCUCAUGGCCCUUAUGGGUAGGGCUUCACACGUAAUACAAUGGUCGGUACAGAGGGUUGCCAACCCGCGAGGGGGAGCCAAUCCCAGAAAACCGAUCGUAGUCCGGAUUGUAGUCUGUAACCCGACUGCAUGAAGUCGGAAUCGCUAGUAAUCGCGGAUCAGCAUGUCGCGGUGAAUACGUUCCCGGGCCUU